GUUGUAAGAGAUAAAACGCCCAAUCUGCAUGUUGCUCUUGCAUUUGGUUUCAUGGCUCAUUAAAAUGACAUAUUAUGAUGUACUUUACUUGCUUUGGUUUCUCUGCUGAAAUGUUGAUCAAUGUGUUCCUCAAUGAAAUGAAAUGUUUGUCAUUGUCUUCUCCUGCUACCUGAAAAAGGAAGGUCUACUGAAUCUCUACUAGUAGACACCAUUGAUCUCCACUGAUUUACAAGAAUAAUAAUGUGAAACCAAUGAAAACAUGAUGGCAUGCAGCACAGAUGGAAGUAGUGAAUUCUGGCAUUAAACAACUGAGAGGAAGGUGCUAAAGUGGAUGGCUCCCUUUAUGGAAGAAUGAUGGAUGGUAGAAACUCUAUUGGGGGAAGGAAAAGAAGAAAAAAAUAGUUUCUCAACUGAACUGGUAUAUCAGCUGUUUCCUGCAGAUUUAGUGAUAAUUCAUCUAUCUUCUCAUGAAGACUGAGGAUUACAAGAAACUAUGCUAGAAGCUUCUAUAAGAGGACUGUCCCUUUUGAUGGAUCGUGACAUCUGACACUCCAUUGGUCCUUAAGGUGAAUUUGACUAAGUAUUUAGUUAAAUCAAACUGCUUGUUAUAACAUAGCCCUGUUAUGAUAACUCUUUUCUUAAAAUAAAAACCCUUGUUGGCUUCUAGAAAUCAUCAUUUUUCUUCUUUUUUUUUCCUGAAAAAGACAUUAUUUUAUUAUUUUUUAUGGCUGAGUAGUAUUCCAUGAUGUAUAUA
RNAcentral lists this long non-coding RNA (754 nucleotides) under Macaca mulatta (Rhesus monkey). Its description in RNAcentral is "lncRNA (ENSMMUG00000049969.1)". The record is from RNAcentral. Lineage: Eukaryota; Metazoa; Chordata; Mammalia; Primates; Cercopithecidae.